Molecule: long non-coding RNA, 339 nt
Organism: Leptinotarsa decemlineata (Colorado potato beetle)
Lineage: Eukaryota; Metazoa; Arthropoda; Insecta; Coleoptera; Chrysomelidae
Source: RefSeq, a predicted model, not a curated record
AGGUACAAUUUUUUGUUUCUAUGUUUAAGGAAUUAUAUAAUGGAAACCACAAAAUAUAUCAUGUUCGAGGUAUUCACACUAUUACACCUGCUAGCAUAGCAAAGCUCCAAAAGGACACAAGGAGACUCAAUCAUAAUCAGAUACCUGUUUCUGACGCACCUCCUGGUUUAUCAGUACAUUUUGAAAAUGGAGAAUUCAGGGAACUUGAUAAGUUGCAUAUAUUCUCCUGCAAAAAAGUGACAUAUAUUUGGAAUAACGAAAAAAGGGAAUUUAUGAAAUUGGCAGGUUUGGAAGCAGGAGUUGCUUGUAAUGUUUUUCACAGGUACAGACCUUUAACCG